Mytilus trossulus (common blue mussel) is the source of this 415-nucleotide long non-coding RNA. RefSeq lists it as uncharacterized. The transcript has 4 exons. NCBI's taxonomy places the organism in Eukaryota, Metazoa, Mollusca, Bivalvia, Mytilida, Mytilidae. The record is from RefSeq and is a predicted model, not a curated record.
CAGGAAAAUUUUCAAACUUGUAGAAUAAUCUCACAACAUCAGAAGCAAAACUUUUGGCGAGUUUUUAAACAGGAGCAUUUCCAAACUUAUGGAAUGAUCUAACAACAUCAGGGUCAAAACAUUUGGAGACAUUUACAAAAGGAGAAUUUCCAAACUUGUGGAAUAAUCGCACAACAUCAGAAGAAAAAGUUUGGCGACUUUUAUAAACAGGAGAAUUUCUCAACUUGUGGAAGAAUCUUUAAACAGAAGAACAAAAACUUUCGGCGACUUUUACAAGGUUUGGACCUACUUAAAAAAAAAACUUCAAGCCGAACAAAACCCUGGAUUUUUUUUCAAGUAGAUAGCUACGAAGCUUCCCUUUUCAUCUAGUACGAACAACAGUCUUGCCGUAGAACUUUUUUUAUUAACUUUUCUG